This 67-nucleotide transfer RNA is filed under the name Paragonimus westermani. RNAcentral's name for it is "tRNA-Glu". The stretch from base 5 to 59 matches the Rfam family "tRNA", at positions 10 to 63 of the family's 71-position model. Rfam says of the family: Transfer RNA (tRNA) molecules are approximately 80 nucleotides in length. Their secondary structure includes four short double-helical elements and three loops (D, anti-codon, and T loops). The record is from RNAcentral. Lineage: Eukaryota; Metazoa; Platyhelminthes; Trematoda; Plagiorchiida; Troglotrematidae.
UUCCGUCUAGCGGUUAGGAUUCCUGGCUUUCACCCAGGCGGCCCGGGUUCGACUCCCGGCGCGGGAG